This 486-nucleotide ribosomal RNA is filed under the name Lactobacillus gasseri. Its description in RNAcentral is "bacterial SSU rRNA". It matches the Rfam family "Bacterial small subunit ribosomal RNA", at positions 28 to 474 of the family's 1533-position model. Lineage: Bacteria; Bacillati; Bacillota; Bacilli; Lactobacillales; Lactobacillaceae. The record is from RNAcentral.
GACGAACGCUGGCGGCGUGCCUAAUACAUGCAAGUCGAGCGAGCUUGCCUAGAUGAAUUUGGUGCUUGCACCAAAUGAAACUAGAUACAAGCGAGCGGCGGACGGGUGAGUAACACGUGGGUAACCUGCCCAAGAGACUGGGAUAACACCUGGAAACAGAUGCUAAUACCGGAUAACAACACUAGACGCAUGUCUAGAGUUUAAAAGAUGGUUCUGCUAUCACUCUUGGAUGGACCUGCGGUGCAUUAGCUAGUUGGUAAGGUAACGGCUUACCAAGGCAAUGAUGCAUAGCCGAGUUGAGAGACUGAUCGGCCACAUUGGGACUGAGACACGGCCCAAACUCCUACGGGAGGCAGCAGUAGGGAAUCUUCCACAAUGGACGCAAGUCUGAUGGAGCAACGCCGCGUGAGUGAAGAAGGGUUUCGGCUCGUAAAGCUCUGUUGGUAGUGAAGAAAGAUAGAGGUAGUAGCUGGCCUUUAUUUGACG